AAGUGUGUAGGAGAAGAUGAUUUUUCAGUGGAAACAUGGAAACACUUGAUUACUCAUCUUAAAA
Molecule: non-coding RNA, 64 nt
Filed under: unclassified sequences
Also listed under: 1 other name
Description: Cyano-1 RNA
Rfam family: Cyano-1 RNA
Source: RNAcentral